RNAcentral lists this transfer RNA (82 nucleotides) under Ferrimonas marina. It matches the Rfam family "tRNA". From Rfam's summary of the family: Transfer RNA (tRNA) molecules are approximately 80 nucleotides in length. Their secondary structure includes four short double-helical elements and three loops (D, anti-codon, and T loops). Lineage: Bacteria; Pseudomonadati; Pseudomonadota; Gammaproteobacteria; Alteromonadales; Ferrimonadaceae. The record is from Rfam by way of RNAcentral.
GGAGAGGUUCCCGAGUGGCCAAAGGGAGCAGAUUGUAAAUCUGUUGGCACUGCCUUCGCAGGUUCGAAUCCUGCCCUCUCCA